UAAGAAAAACAGCAUAUAGAGAGUUUGGUACUGUCUGCAGUUUGAGGCAACCACUGGGGGUCUAGGAACAUCUCCCAUUUGGAUAAGAGAGCCAUAGACUGUUGGGUCUACGAGGGACUGUGGUGAGCGCAAUUCUGAGAUUGCUCGCAAGAAUCCAGGCCUCGGAUGAGGAAGCUGGGGCCAGGGGAAGUGAAGAAAUGCAUCUUCCACUUUCUUAGUGACUCCCGUGGGCACUAUGCCCAUGUCCAGUGGUGCGGCCAUGGUGUGCAUAUGGGUCUCUUUCAAAUGACAGUUAUUUUUAAGGAAAGAAAACACCUGGCUUUCAGUGAGAGUAAUCAGAUAAAGCUGCUUAUGUUCACUGCAAACCUCCCCUGAGGUAAUGAGUGGGAGGCCCUCAGUGGAAAUGUCAGAAAGGCCAGCACUUUAUGCUUUAUUUUCUUUAUUCCCGGUCCAAAAUUAGAUGCAACUGGUGUGACUUCACAAGUGCUGUCCUCGGUCCCAAGCCGGGAUGUGGCCACUGUUUGCCAGGGAUCCUGCUGCAAAGGAUUCCAAAGCUUGGCUCCCAGCCCAGAUGCCCCUGCACUCCUGAGGCAGAGGCUCUGCAAGUCUUCUCCUUUCUCAUUCCCGAGGCUGGGGCUUCAUCCUUACAAAGUGUCCUUACAAACUCCUCCUUCCAAACCUGGCUUCUGAUGAGAGGGUGCAGAGAGAAAUUGGGCUUUGGAGGUAAAUGUAUUCUUCUCUGUAUUUCAUUAUCUCCUGGCACCUAGCACUAGAGCCAGCCUCGCUCAAUGGGCAUAAAAAUAAACAUUUACAUUUGACAGUUCAUUGGUAAAAUCUGAAUCUUGACCUCAAGGUUUGCCUCUUUGCAACUGGUCAAUCCAGGAUAGAUUCAGAAAACCACAGGAUGGGAUUUAGAGCAUCUAUGACCAUUAACUCAGACUUGGGCUAAUCUGAAUAGGCAGUUCUUAUCUAAAGGGAAACUCACACCACCAUCAUUCAUUUACAUUAAGCUGUCUCUCCAAACUCUAUGACUGGUAUAUCCAGUCUACUAGGUCCUCUAGAAAAUGCCUGAGCAGGCUGGGCAUCGUGGCUUACACCAGUAAUCCCAGCACUUUGGGAGGCCAAGGAGGGAGGAUCACUUGAGACCAAGAGUUCAAGACCAGCCUGGCCAACAUGGUGAAACCCCAUCUCUACUAAAAAUACAAAAAUUAGCCGGGUGCGAUGGUGCACGCCUGUAAUCCCAGCUACUCAGAAGGCUGAGGCAGGAGAAUCGCUUGAACAGGGAGGCAAAGGUUGCAGUGAGCGAAGACUGCCCCAGUGCACUCCAGCCUCGGUGAGAGAGUGGGACUCUGUCUCAAAUAAUAAAAUAAAAUAAAGAAAAAAAGAAAAUGCUUGAGCAAUAAAUACAUAAAUAAUAAUAAUGUAUAAUUUAUACUCUGAAAUAGCUUAUAGGCAAUAAAAUACAGACUAGAGCUAAAUGACAUAAUUUGAGAUAUAGACAAAAUCUACUAUGUAAUGUCCUAAGCCAGAAGAAACACUGUGUGCUGAAGUUGAUUGAGCAUUUUUGUGGAAGACCUAAAACUUGAAAUGGAUCUUGAAGAAAUAUUCAGUUUUACAAGCUUAUUCUUACUUCAGAUAGACAUAUGGAGAAAUGGAUCCAUUAAAGAAAAUUUGGAAAGAAGAGAAGAGAUUUAAGGAGGCAAACGUUUCUUACAGUCCCCCAAUCCUUAAAUAUCCAUAUGUAACAACCAGGACAAGGUAGCCCAUUAUCUUGGUUUAUUCCAUGUAUCUCAACCAGAAUUUAUCCUCCAUCAGGCACUAAUACAGUUUUGAGAUGUCUUAAAAAUUAAGCACAAUUAGGAAUAAGAAAACAUUUUUAAAAGUAUAAUAACCCUUCUAACGCCAAGUAAAAACCUAUUGCUUGACUUCAGCUUAUUGAUUUUCUUCUUCUUAGCUUCCUUGUUACCAAGGCAAAAGAGAAAAAGCAUUAACUUACAUUUCUGCUACUUUCUGAAGACAAACUUUCUGCUUUAUUUAUCAGCUUUAUCCUGUUACUGAAUUCAAAUGAGAAUGCAGUCAGGAAAACCAGGUAACAUAAUGGACAAUGCAUUUAAAUACACAUUUUUAAAACAUGUAGACAUGUUGUCCAAAUGGAUGAGUGUAUACCUCUCAGUUAUAUUAGUUGCCUGCAAAAUUAUUAUUACUAUGUUAUAAUACAGUGUGUGUUUGUUGUCAUCCAAUGUUCCGGCUUCAUCUAGCAAAAAAUCAUUAAAAAUCCAUGGUACUGUCAGUGAAUGUGUGCAUUAGAUAGCCCCUCUCAAAUAUCACAUAUCUCAAGUGGACCUUCACCAGGCGCUGGAUUGCCAUUUAUCCAUAUAUGAAUUCUCCAGCCUCAGCUUGCAGCACGGAAAUUCUUCGUGGCUCAUUAACAUACAGGAGUCUUAUGUGUUACACACCAGUCAUGCAUGAGGAAGAGCUGUCAUUCUGAUGUGUAAGACUAAAAUUUAGCACAGUGAACUGCAGGGGAAUCUGAAGGACAGGAAUUAAAAGUAAUGAGAUCUCACUUUUCAAACUAAAAUAGUCUCCUCCAUAUUAUGGGACAUAGAAAUCCAGACUGUCAAACACAUGGUCCAGUCAAGGGAAAGUGCUCAUCAAAUUCUCAUUAAUUUAUUUACUGAUUGUACUGACUCAGUCUGAAUAUAAUUGCAUAUUAGUGGAUCACAAGAAUGAGUAAUAUAUAAAAUUCAUAGCCGAACAAUCUAAUAAAUUUUCCUGGGACUGUUGUCUAUUUAAGUCUCUCAGUAUAUCCAACUACAACAAUUUAAUUUUCAUCUAUUUGAGUCUGUGAAGCUUAAUUCAAACUGCACUGGCUUUGAAUUUUAAAAUGGUAGUGAUUGCAACCAAUAUAUUUCUCUGAAAGGAGAACCAAUCUAGGGCUUUGAUAAAAAUGCUGUCUAUUCUCCCCCUCAACCCUAGACCACAGGGCGGGGGCAGGCAUUUCUCCUUCACGCUGUUGAAGGGUAGAACUUUUCAAGAACGCGGGAGAAGUCAGAGCCAGUUUUUGAACACAUAGUAAGGGUGCUGAUUGGAGGGUCAUUUCUUCUCAAGAAAAUUACUCACAAAGCUGCUUUAUUGGGGUGGUUUGUUUAAAUAUUUUUUUCUUUCUUUCUCUCAAUUGCUUAUGUCCUGAGAAAUGAACUUGACGCAGAAACCAGGGCUGUAGAUACUAGUGACUACCUCCUUUAUCCAGGGUGGCUUUUGCUGUGUAAUCUUUCUCUGUCCAUCUUCCUGUGCUCUAGGAAUCCUGUCUCCUCAGAUGUUCCUACGAAGAAGUAAACUAUCUCGAAGAAGUAAACUAUCUCUGAGAAGUCUCAAUGUUGAACUUUAUUCUGGAGAGACAGGAAAGGCCUAUAAUUAGAGCAAUGCUUGAGUUUAUAUCUACUGUCUGACAAAUUGACUUUACUAUAAAUUAGCUAAAUUCCAAAACCAUUUUCAGAAAUAAAAAUAUCUUCCAAAUUUAAAAUGAGUUGUAAAUGUAUAUUAAGAUUAAUUAAACAUCCUUUGUAUUGUUUUUAUACAUAUUUUAAAAGUAACAUGGGCAGAGUAAUUAUGUCUGGAACAUGCUCACUUCUCUGGGUACUGAGGUCCUAGUGAUCGCAGAACAAAUUCUGCUAAGUGAACAAUAUUCUCAGUUUUCUUUAUUUUUGCUUAAUUUAUGCUAGAUUUUCUAAUUUUUUUUUUUACAAAAUAAAACACAUAAAAUUCUUUGGUAAAUUAACAAAUUUGUAUGCUACAGAUCAUUGACCAUUUCCAUGUUAUUCUAUUCCACUGCAGAAAAUAAAUGUAUCCAUUAAAAAUGCUGAGAUAUUAAAAAGUACAAUUAUGGAAUUUCAAAAUUAUAUUUUUACACUAUUUGAGGUUGCUCCAUUUUAUUUAUCAGGUUUCUUGCUUUUGAAGGAAUAAACUUCAGCCCCUUCUCCUUGCAUGGUUUACUUUCAAUUACAAUUUACUAAAAGCUAUAAAAUCUAAAGUUAUUCUUGUCAUAUUGGGUGUUGAAAAUUUUUGAAUAAAAUGAUUUGCACCUGAGAACAUUUAAAAUCUAGUCUUUAAGAAAUUUUGAAAUAUACAAUGCAUUAUUAUUAAUUAUAGUCACCAUUCUGUGCAAUAGAUCACUAAGGCUUAUUCUUCCUGGCUAGCCAAAAUUUUGUAACCUUGGAUCAACAUCUCCCUUUUUCCCAUCCACCCUCCUCUCCUGCCUCUGAAAACCACCAAAUUGGUAAGUGUAUUAGGUGAUGGAGAUGUUAAUUAGCUUGCUUAAAUCAUUCCACAAUGUAAGCAUAUAUCAAAAUAUUACAUUGUACCCCACAAAUACAUACAACUAUUAUUUGUC
Molecule: long non-coding RNA, 4390 nt
Filed under: Homo sapiens (human)
Lineage: Eukaryota; Metazoa; Chordata; Mammalia; Primates; Hominidae
Description: HSALNT0131063
Source: RNAcentral